This 318-nucleotide ribosomal RNA is filed under the name uncultured bacterium. RNAcentral describes it as "bacterial SSU rRNA". It matches the Rfam family "Bacterial small subunit ribosomal RNA", at positions 29 to 348 of the family's 1533-position model. The record is from RNAcentral.
AACGAACGCUGGCGGCAUGCCUAACACAUGCAAGUCGAACGGCAGCACGGGAGCAAUCCUGGUGGCGAGUGGCGAACGGGUGAGUAAUAUAUCGGAACGUGCCCAGUCGUGGGGAUACGUAGCGAAAGCUACGCUAAUACCGCAUACGAUCUAUGGAUGAAAGCGGGGGAUCGCAAGACCUCGCGCGAUUGGAGCGGCCGAUAUCAGAUUAGGUAGUUGGUGAGGUAAAGGGCUCACCAAGCCGACGAUCUGUAGCUGGUCUGAGAGGACGACCCAGCCACACUGGGACUGGAGACACGGCCCAGACUCUACGGGAGC